GGGAGUAUUAACGAAGGAGAUGAAUAUAGAUGAAUGGGAUGAGUGUGAAUGAAAAAGAUGAGGAAAAGAUUGUGAAUAAAGAGAUGAGUGUGGAUAAAGGAGAUGACUAUGAAUGUAGGUGACGAGUGUAAAAGAUGAGUAUAAAAGGCUUUUUCGAAACUAGUGCUAAAUGAUACAAGGGAUAUGACUUAAGGGUUUGAGUUAUAAAUUAAGUUGAGACGAGAAAGUUGAAUAACAUAUAAGGAACAAAAUACAUAAGUAUUUAAGUAAAUUAAGUUGAGAUAAGAAAGUUGAAAACUAUGUAAGUAACAAAAC
Molecule: long non-coding RNA, 315 nt
Filed under: Vigna radiata
Lineage: Eukaryota; Viridiplantae; Streptophyta; Magnoliopsida; Fabales; Fabaceae
Description: long non-coding RNA (VRAD_LNC017267)
Source: RNAcentral